GCAGCACAGUAAGAGCUUGCUCUUAUGGGUGGCGAGUGGCGGACGGGUGAGGAAUACAUCGGAAUCUACCUUUUCGUGGGGGAUAACGUAGGGAAACUUACGCUAAUACCGCAUACGACCUUCGGGUGAAAGCAGGGGACCUUCGGGCCUUGCGCGGAUAGAUGAGCCGAUGUCGGAUUAGCUAGUUGGCGGGGUAAAGGCCCACCAAGGCGACGAUCCGUAGCUGGUCUGAGAGGAUGAUCAGCCACACUGGAACUGAGACACGGUCCAGACUCCUACGGGAGGCAGCAGUGGGGAAUAUUGGACAAUGGGCGCAAGCCUGAUCCAGCCAUACCGCGUGGGUGAAGAAGGCCUUCGGGUUGUAAAGCCCUUUUGUUGGGAAAGAAAAGCAGUCGGCUAAUACCCGGUUGUUCUGACGGUACCCAAAGAAUAAGCACCGGCUAACUUCGUGCCAGCAGCCGCGGUAAUACGAAGGGUGCAAGCGUUACUCGGAAUUACUGGGCGUAAAGCGUGCGUAGGUGGUUGUUUAAGUCUGUUGUGAAAGCCCUGGGCUCAACCUGGGAAUUGCAGUGGAUACUGGGCGACUAGAGUGUGGUAGAGGGUAGUGGAAUUCCCGGUGUAGCAGUGAAAUGCGUAGAGAUCGGGAGGAACAUCCAUGGCGAAGGCAGCUACCUGGACCAACACUGACACUGAGGCACGAAAGCGUGGGGGAGCAAACAGGAUUAGAUACCCUGGUAGUCCACGCCCUAAACGAUGCGAACUGGAUGUUGGGUGCAAUUUGGCACGCAGUAUCGAAGCUAACGCGUUAAGUUCGCCGCCUGGGGAGUACGGUCGCAAGACUGAAACUCAAGGAAUUGACGGGGGCCCGCACAAGCGGUGG
RNAcentral lists this ribosomal RNA (880 nucleotides) under Stenotrophomonas rhizophila. Its description in RNAcentral is "bacterial SSU rRNA". It matches the Rfam family "Bacterial small subunit ribosomal RNA", at positions 66 to 935 of the family's 1533-position model. Lineage: Bacteria; Pseudomonadati; Pseudomonadota; Gammaproteobacteria; Lysobacterales; Lysobacteraceae. The record is from RNAcentral.